This 260-nucleotide unclassified non-coding RNA is filed under the name Hevea brasiliensis (rubber tree). The record is from RNAcentral. Lineage: Eukaryota; Viridiplantae; Streptophyta; Magnoliopsida; Malpighiales; Euphorbiaceae.
CGGGCGCCUGGCGAUGUUUGCGAUGCUCGGUUUCUUCCUGCAGGCCUAUGUUACAGGAGAAGGGCCAGUGGAGAACCUCAGCAAGCAUCUGAGUGACCCAUUUGGAAACAACUUGCUCACUGUGAUCUCAGGAGGGGCUGAGAGAGUUCCUACCCUGUAACUUUCUUCAUUCCAAUUCCAACACCCCUUGGGUUGUAAAUUUAAUGAGAUCACGGAAGGCCUGUGGUAAAUUGUGUUUCCUGCUAAAUACUAAAUGCUUG